GCCAGCAGCCGCGGUAAUACGGAGGGUGCGAGCGUUAAUCGGAAUUACUGGGCGUAAAGCGCAUGCAGGCGGCCUGUUAAGUCAGAUGUGAAAGCCCGGGGCUUAACCUCGGAAUUGCAUUUGAAACUGGCAGGCUAGAGUCUUGUAGAGGGGGUAGAAUUUCAGGUGUAGCGGUGAAAAUGCGUAGAGAUCUGAAGGAAUACCAGUGGCGAAGGCGGCCCCCUGGACAAAGACUGACGCUCAGAUGCGAAAGCGUGGGGAGCAAACAGGAUUAGAUACCCUGGUAG
RNAcentral lists this ribosomal RNA (287 nucleotides) under uncultured bacterium. RNAcentral describes it as "partial 16S ribosomal RNA". It matches the Rfam family "Bacterial small subunit ribosomal RNA", at positions 507 to 793 of the family's 1533-position model. The record is from RNAcentral.